UGUCCUACGGGGCGCAGCAGUGGGGGAUAUUGCACAAUGGGGGAAACCCUGAUGCAGCGACGCCGCGUGGGUGAAGAAGCGCCUCGGCGCGUAAAGCCCUGUCAGCAGGGAAGAAAAUGACGGUACCUGAAGAAAAAGCAUCGGCUAACUCCGUGCCAGCAGCCGCGGUAAUACGGAGGAUGCGAGCGUUAUCCGGAUUUAUUGGGUUUAAAGGGUGCGCAGGCGGUCUGUUAAGUCAGCGGUCAAAGCCCGGGGCUCAACCCCGGCCCGCCGUUGAAACUGGCAGUCUCGAGUUGGAGAGAAGG
This 305-nucleotide ribosomal RNA is filed under the name uncultured bacterium. RNAcentral describes it as "bacterial SSU rRNA". It matches the Rfam family "Bacterial small subunit ribosomal RNA", at positions 335 to 658 of the family's 1533-position model. The record is from RNAcentral.